AUUUCUUUAUAACUCUCUCAUUUUCUUCAUUUCAUACUAUCUCUAGAUUCUCUCACUAGAAAUUCUCUCUAAACUCUCUAUUUAGCUAUGUUAUCUUCCUCUCGUGCAGCGUCAGCCACAGAAAAUCCACGUCAAGACAACGAGACUUACAUCUUCACGACUACUGAUAUAGAGGUUUGCAUUUUGAUACCUAACCUAUAGAGACGUGUAUGAUGAUUGAAGGUAUUUCUCCUCCCAACAGAUAAUAGAUCUUAUGAGUGAUGAUCCUUCUUGAGAUCGUGUGGAUAUCCCAUUUCUAUGGUUGCACUAAUUGGUUACCGAAGCCUUUUCAUAUCUUUUCAUAAAGAUGUAUACUGUAUAGUAGCUCACUCGGAUGAUAAUCUUGUUGAUUAUUGAUUGCACUUUCUAGCAUUCUAGCAGGAAUAAUGUUAACCUAACAUUCUAAGGAGUCUCAUCGACUUGGAUGUAUUGGCAGAGUAUGACUUAGAGGGAUAUCAUGUUAUGUGUCAUGUAUGAGGACAUGAGUCAGUAUUCUCGUGGUAUGCAUUCAUUUUUUCCAUAUUUUGAUUA
Molecule: long non-coding RNA, 570 nt
Organism: Jatropha curcas
Lineage: Eukaryota; Viridiplantae; Streptophyta; Magnoliopsida; Malpighiales; Euphorbiaceae
Source: RefSeq, a predicted model, not a curated record